RNAcentral lists this ribosomal RNA (450 nucleotides) under uncultured bacterium. RNAcentral describes it as "partial 16S ribosomal RNA". It matches the Rfam family "Bacterial small subunit ribosomal RNA", at positions 338 to 795 of the family's 1533-position model. The record is from RNAcentral.
CCUACGGGUGGCUGCAGUGGGGAAUAUUGGACAAUGGGGGGAAACCCUGAUCCAGCAAUGCCGCGUGUGUGAAGAAGGCCUGCGGGUUGUAAAGCACUUUCGGUUGGGAAGAAAAGUUUGGCGCCAAUACCGCCGAACCUUGACGUUACUGACAGAAGAAGCACCGGCUAACUCUGGGCCAGCAGCCGCGGUAAUACAGAGGGUGCAAGCGGGAGUCGGACGCACGUGGCGGAACAUGCAAGUCGGGUGUGAAAUCCCCGGGCUUAACCUGGGAACUGCAUUCGAUACUACAUGGCUAGAGUAUGGUAGAGGGAAGUGGAAUUUCCGGUGUAGCGGUGAAAUGCGUAGAUAUCGGAAGGAACACCAAUGGCGAAGGCAGCUUCCUGGACUAAUACUGACACUGAGGCACGAAAGCGUGGGUAGCAAACAGGAUUAGAUACCCCGGUAGUC